AGCGUAUAUUAAAGUUGUUGCAGUUAAAAAGCUCGUAGUUGAAUUUCAGGGUUAGUAGGUUGGUCAUGCCUCUGGUACGUACUGAUCUCACUGAUUCCUCCCUCUUGACGAACUGUAAUGUCAUUAAUUUGGUGUUGCAGGAAAUCAGGACUGUUACUUUGAAAAAAUUAGAGUGUUUAAAGCAGGCUUAGGCUUGAAUACAUUAGCAUGGAAUAAUGAAAUAGGACGUUUGAACCUAUUUUGUUGGUUUCUAGGAUCGACGUAAUGAUUAAUAGGGAUAGUUGGGGGCAUUAGUAUUCAAUUGUCAGAGGUGAAAUUCUUGGAUUUAUUGAAGACUAACUACUGCGAAAGCAUUUGCCAAGGAUGUUUUCAUUAAUCAAGAGCGAAAGUUAGGGGAUCGAAGACGAUCAGAUACCGUCGUAGUCUUAACCAUAAAC
Molecule: ribosomal RNA, 437 nt
Filed under: uncultured Glomeromycotina
Lineage: Eukaryota; Fungi; Glomeromycota
Description: SSU rRNA
Rfam family: Eukaryotic small subunit ribosomal RNA
Source: RNAcentral